RNAcentral lists this unclassified non-coding RNA (378 nucleotides) under plant metagenome. RNAcentral describes it as "partial contains 5.8S ribosomal RNA, internal transcribed spacer 2, and large subunit ribosomal RNA". The stretch from base 1 to 105 matches the Rfam family "5.8S ribosomal RNA", at positions 50 to 154 of the family's 154-position model. The record is from RNAcentral.
GAAAUGCGAUAAGUGAUGUGAAUUGCAGAAUUCAGUGAAUCAUCGAAUCUUUGAACGCACCUUGCGCUCCUUGGUAUUCCUUGGAGCAUGCCUGUUUGAGUAUCAUGAAAUCUUCAAAGUAAAUCUUUUGUUAACUCAAUUGGUUUCUACUUUGGUAUUGGAGGUCUUUGCAGCUUCACACCUGCUCCUCUUUGUUCAUUAGCUGGAUCUCAGUGUUAUGCUUGGUUCCACUCGGCGUGAUAAGUUAUCUAUCGCUGAGGACACUGUAAAAGGUGGCCAAGGUAAAUGCAGAUGAACCGCUUCUAAUAGUCCAUUGACUUGGACAAUACUUUUAUGAUCUGAUCUCAAAUCAGGUAGGACUACCCGCUGAACUUAAGC